UAGACUUCCAGAUAGAGGCUCCCACACGGAUGAUGAGAACAACUACACAGACUACUUUUUCCAACACGUACUUUAAGUAGCAGUUUCCUCCAGAACCAAGUUUCCCAUCCUUGGCUCCUUAUUUCUCCAUUUCAAUUAUUGUGUAUGUUUUUUGUCUUUGACAAACAAGCUCUUUUCAUUACUUUUGAACUGAAA
RNAcentral lists this long non-coding RNA (195 nucleotides) under Mustela putorius furo (domestic ferret). RNAcentral describes it as "lncRNA (ENSMPUG00000031529.1)". Lineage: Eukaryota; Metazoa; Chordata; Mammalia; Carnivora; Mustelidae. The record is from RNAcentral.